Molecule: microRNA precursor, 120 nt
Filed under: Pristionchus pacificus
Lineage: Eukaryota; Metazoa; Nematoda; Chromadorea; Rhabditida; Neodiplogasteridae
Description: microRNA ppc-mir-993 precursor
Gene: ppc-mir-993
Source: miRBase by way of RNAcentral
GAUCUCUCUCCCCCUUGGGCUAACCAUUCUGCCCUGUACAGACGUGCUUAUCUCUGGUAUUCUAUAAGCACGAGAAGCUCGACUCUACAGGUCAGAACAGGCCUAUUCAUACUUUGAUUU